CGUGUAGGCGGCUUAUUAAGUCAUUUGUUAAAGCCCAUGGCUUACCCAUGGACCAGCAAUUGAUACUGAUAGGCUAAGAGGGCAAGAGAGAGAAGUGGAAUUCUCGGAGUAGCGGUAAAAUGCGUAGAUCUCGAGAGGAACACCGAUGGCGAAGGCAGCUUCUUGGCUUGUACCUGACGCUGAGGCGCGAAAGCGUGGGGAGCAAACA
Molecule: ribosomal RNA, 208 nt
Filed under: uncultured bacterium
Lineage: Bacteria
Description: partial 16S ribosomal RNA
Rfam family: Bacterial small subunit ribosomal RNA
Source: RNAcentral